RNAcentral lists this transfer RNA (66 nucleotides) under Junonia iphita (chocolate pansy). Its description in RNAcentral is "tRNA-Phe". Lineage: Eukaryota; Metazoa; Arthropoda; Insecta; Lepidoptera; Nymphalidae. The record is from RNAcentral.
UAUCUAAAGAUUAAUUAAUCACCCUAAUAUCUUCAAUAUUAUACUCUAAACUUAAGCUAUUUAAAU